This 160-nucleotide ribosomal RNA is filed under the name Fomitiporia capensis. Its description in RNAcentral is "Fomitiporia sp. MC-2012 partial 28S ribosomal RNA". The record is from RNAcentral. Lineage: Eukaryota; Fungi; Basidiomycota; Agaricomycetes; Hymenochaetales; Hymenochaetaceae.
GCAUUGUUUGGUGUAAUAGUUUUCUAUCUAUAUUCACUGCAGUGCUUGCUUAAACUGUCUGCUUCUAAUAGUCUGCCUAUGUGUCAGACAGGUACUUUGUUACCUUAAACCAUUUGACUCCUUUGACCUCAAAUCAGGUAGGACUACCCGCUGAACUUAA